RNAcentral lists this ribosomal RNA (852 nucleotides) under Ophiocordyceps sinensis. RNAcentral describes it as "partial 28S ribosomal RNA". It matches the Rfam family "Eukaryotic large subunit ribosomal RNA", at positions 63 to 940 of the family's 3401-position model. Lineage: Eukaryota; Fungi; Ascomycota; Sordariomycetes; Hypocreales; Ophiocordycipitaceae. The record is from RNAcentral.
AACCAACAGGGAUUGCCCCAGUAACGGCGAGUGAAGCGGCAACAGCUCAAAUUUGAAAUCUGGCCCCCCCGCGGGCCCGAGUUGUAAUUUGCAGAGGAUGCUUUUGGCGCGGCGCCUUCCGAGUGCCCUGGAACGGGACGCCAUAGAGGGUGAGAGCCCCGUCUGGUCGGACGCCCAGCCUCUGUAAAGCUCCUUCGACGAGUCGAGUAGUUUGGGAAUGCUGCUCUAAACGGGAGGUAUAUGUCUUCCAAAGCUAAAUACCGGCCAGAGACCGAUAGCGCACAAGUAGAGUGAUCGAAAGAUGAAAAGCACUUUGAAAAGAGGGUUAAACAGUACGUGAAAUUGUUGAAAGGGAAGCGCUUGUGACCAGACUCGGGCGCGGCGAAUCACCCGGCGUUCUCGCCGGUGCACUUCGACGCGCCCGGGCCAGCAUCAGCUCGCCGCGGGGGACAAAGGCGCCGGGAACGUGGCUCCCCAGGGAGUGUUAUAGCCCGGCGCGCAACGCCCCGCGGCGGACUGAGGUUCGCGCGUCCGCAAGGAUGCUGGCGUAAUGGUCACCAGUGACCCGUCUUGAAACACGGACCAAGGAGUCGUCCUCGUAUGCGAGUGUUCGGGUGUCAAACCCCUACGCGCAAUGAAAGUGAACGCGGGUGAGAGCCUCGCGGCGCAUCAUCGACCGAUCCUGAUGUUCUCGGAUGGAUUUGAGUAGGAGCAUACGGGGCCGGACCCGAAAGAAGGUGAACUAUGCCUGUGUAGGGUGAAGCCAGAGGAAACUCUGGUGGAGGCUCGCAGCGGUUCUGACGUGCAAAUCGAUCGUCAAACAUGGGCAUGGGGGCGAAAGACUAAUCGAAC